AUGGCGCUGCUCCGCGGCGCCAGCCCCGCCCCCAGGGCCGGCCCCGGCCCCGCGAUUGGCUCCGCUCGUUCGUGUCCGCCAAUGGCAGCCUGCGCUGCCCGUGACGUCACCGCGGCCCGGCGGCGCACGGAAGUGAACGUGCCCGCGGGAGCGCUGCGGGAGAGAAUUGCUGGGGAUCCCAGCAGACCCUGCCGGACCCCCUGGGACCACUCUGCAGGAAUGAAGAAGAAGAAGGAAUAUGCAUGUGCCCUGGAAUCCAGGUUGACGAUAGACCACCAGCUCUACCGCAGAGUUGAAACUCUGGAAAAAGAUUUCCAAAAAGGUCUGGACAACAUAAACCAUGAGCUUAAGUAUGUCAGAGCAGAGCUGCAGAACAACCAAGGAAAGAACGAGGAGGAUAUUCCAUUGAUCCCAGAAACAUUGUUGAAGAAGAACAAGCAAGAGUUAUCAGAAAAAAUCAAGACUGUGAAAGAUGAUGUAGAGCAAAGUAAGGAGGACAUAAAUCAUAAGCUUCAGAAACUCAGAGAUGAGCUGGAGGAGGAGAACCAAGGAAUGAAGAAGGAGAAAGAGCGUGCAUGGGCCCUGGAAUCCAGGUUGAAGAGGAAAAUGCGGCAGUUUUCCAGAAGAACCGAAACUCUGCAAGAAGAUGUAGAGGAAUGGCCAGAGACCAUAAUGCUUGAGCUUCAGGUUCGCGGAGGAGUGCUGAAGAACAUGAAAGGAAUGAAGAAGGAGGAUAUUGCAUCGGCCCUGGAAACAUUGUUGAAGAAGAAUAAGCAAGAGUUCUCCCAAAAAAUUGAGACUCUGAAAGAAGAUGUAGAGGAUUGUAUGGAGGCCAUAAAUCAUGACCUUCACAUUCUCAGAGAUGAUCUGGAGGAGAAGAAACAAGGAAAGAUGGAGGGGGAGUGAAUAAGCCCUUGCGGGAACAGAGGACUUCUGGACAGCAAUUCCAUAUGACUAUGCAGAAGCCGAUUUAUUGUUUGCUUUUAAUUGUAUUUAUACAUUCUAAAACUACUUUUCACAUGAUCACACCUAUUUUGAUUGGUGCCUCUAUCUUUUCCACAUGCUGUGCACAAGUGUUACAGGUAAAAUGAUUGGUUGAAAUCCAGAGCAUCAAUGCCCAGCUUUAUCUUGGCUCUUCUAUUUUUUGUAUUCUGUUUUUCAGCUUCUUCUCUUCCAGUUUAGCACAAUUUAUGUUUCAGUAGCCUUGAAGAGUUACAGAAAGUUUGAUUGACUGCAGAAAAGCACCAAAAAAUGGCUCCCUCCAGUGUACCUGUUAUAAACAAUAGUCUAAAGUAAAACUGUCGAAAAACAGCUAAAUAUAGUUUGGCUGGUGCACUUGAUACAGAUUAUGGCCUAGAUGGUUCAGAUACAUUGCUACAAGCCCUGAAAUGCAGCAUGGAAAUGAUAGUCCUGGAGCUUUUUCCCUGAAUUCAAACUAUGGUAGUUUGGAAGGGGCUGACAGCUGUUCUGUGAACCAGAGUUAACUGAUAAGAUUUACUUCUGAAAGCAAUUUUACCAAGGCCAUUGGCAUGGAGAUGGAGAAGAGAAGAAGAAGAAGAUGUGAAAGUUAUUUGAAAACAGUGGUGGAGACUCCUUUGUACCAAUGAGGAUUGUGUUGAUCAAUUGUAGCCAAUGAAUAAAGUGUAAACUUUGUGUAGUGCGUAAAACACAGCAUGCUGUUGUAAUAAACAGAAAGUAUCCUUCUGAAGUGUGUCACGUCCCUUUGUGUGUCCUAUCUGUCUCAACAGCAACAUGGUACAAGAGUUACAGGAGAGACAGUGAUGCCUAGAGAGGCUGAUCAGGAACAGAGGCUAGACAGUGUUAAAGGCAUAAAGUGGGUAUUUAUUGAAAGACAUUUAAAGGAAACACCUUGGGCAGUACAAGAGCUUGGCCGUGGCUCAGUUGCAU
RNAcentral lists this long non-coding RNA (1908 nucleotides) under Catharus ustulatus (Swainson's thrush). RNAcentral's name for it is "lncRNA (ENSCUSG00005011995.1)". Lineage: Eukaryota; Metazoa; Chordata; Aves; Passeriformes; Turdidae. The record is from RNAcentral.